Molecule: non-coding RNA, 27 nt
Filed under: Homo sapiens (human)
Lineage: Eukaryota; Metazoa; Chordata; Mammalia; Primates; Hominidae
Source: RNAcentral
UGCAUCCAUGGUCCCAACCUGUAGGGC